Molecule: ribosomal RNA, 797 nt
Filed under: Demequina sp.
Lineage: Bacteria; Bacillati; Actinomycetota; Actinomycetes; Micrococcales; Demequinaceae
Description: bacterial SSU rRNA
Rfam family: Bacterial small subunit ribosomal RNA
Source: RNAcentral
CGCAUGGUGAGGGUUGGGAAAGUUUUUCGGUCUGGGAUGGACUCGCGGCCUAUCAGCUUGUUGGUGAGGUAAUGGCUCACCAAGGCGACGACGGGUAGCCGGCCUGAGAGGGCGACCGGCCACACUGGAACUGAGACACGGUCCAGACUCCUACGGGAGGCAGCAGUGGGGAAUAUUGCACAAUGGGCGAAAGCCUGAUGCAGCGACGCCGCGUGGGGGAUGAAGGCCUUCGGGUUGUAAACCCCUUUCAGCAGGGAAGAAGCGAAAGUGACGGUACCUGCAGAAGAAGCGCCGGCUAACUACGUGCCAGCAGCCGCGGUAAUACGUAGGGCGCAAGCGUUGUCCGGAAUUAUUGGGCGUAAAGAGCUCGUAGGCGGUUCGUCGCGUCUGCUGUGAAAGCCCGAGGCUCAACCUCGGGUCUGCAGUGGGUACGGGCGGACUAGAGUGUGGUAGGGGAGACUGGAAUUCCUGGUGUAGCGGUGGAAUGCGCAGAUAUCAGGAGGAACACCGAUGGCGAAGGCAGGUCUYUGGGCCACAACUGACGCUGAGGAGCGAAAGCGUGGGGAGCGAACAGGAUUAGAUACCCUGGUAGUCCACGCCGUAAACGGUGGGCACUAGAUGUGGGGCUCUUUCCAUGAGUUCCGCGUCGCAGCUAACGCAUUAAGUGCCCCGCCUGGGGAGUACGGCCGCAAGGCUAAAACUCAAAGGAAUUGACGGGGGCCCGCACAAGCGGCGGAGCAUGCGGAUUAAUUCGAUGCAACGCGAAGAACCUUACCAAGGCUUGACAUAUACCCUCU